GCCGCGUUCUCGAACUUGAGCGCGAGCGUCUCCUCGAUGAUGCGGUUGUUCACCUCCAGCAGGAUCAUGGCGGCGGCUGCCCCGGGCAGGGGAAGGAGAAACAAGGGCAGAUGAGGAAACUGAGGCACAGAGGUGAAUUAAUUGGCCCAACAUCACAAAGCCGGGGAAGCUUGGCCACGGACACAGGCACACAAGGAGGACGCUACGUGAAGAUGAAGGCGGGGACUGAGGUGACACUCCUACAACAGAGGGACACCAAAGAUGGCCAGCAAACCCCAGAAGCCAGGGGAGAGGCGUGGAACAGAUGCUCCCUCGCAGCCCUCACAAGGAACCAACUCAGCUGACACCCCGAUCUUGGCCUUCUAGCCUCCAGAACCGCGAGACAGUAAAUCUGUGUUGUUGAAG
Equus caballus (horse) is the source of this 405-nucleotide non-coding RNA. Lineage: Eukaryota; Metazoa; Chordata; Mammalia; Perissodactyla; Equidae. The record is from RefSeq and is a predicted model, not a curated record.